This 261-nucleotide ribosomal RNA is filed under the name uncultured bacterium. RNAcentral's name for it is "partial 16S ribosomal RNA". It matches the Rfam family "Bacterial small subunit ribosomal RNA", at positions 95 to 354 of the family's 1533-position model. The record is from RNAcentral.
UCGGCGGACGGGUGAGUAACGUGUGGGCAACCUGCCUUUUACUGGGGAAUAAUCACUGGAAACGGUGACUAAUACCGCAUAAUAUUCUUGGAAGGCAUCUUCCGAGAAGGAAAGGAAAUAUUCGGUAAAAGAUGGGCCCGCAUCUGAUUAGCUAGUUGGUGAGAUAACAGCCCACCAAGGCGACGAUCAGUAGCCGACCUGAGAGGGUGACCGGCCACAUUGGGACUGAGACACGGCCCAAACUCCUACGGAAGGCAGCAG